Molecule: transfer RNA, 77 nt
Filed under: Gammaproteobacteria bacterium
Lineage: Bacteria; Pseudomonadati; Pseudomonadota; Gammaproteobacteria
Description: tRNA-Arg
Rfam family: tRNA
About the family: Transfer RNA (tRNA) molecules are approximately 80 nucleotides in length. Their secondary structure includes four short double-helical elements and three loops (D, anti-codon, and T loops). Further hydrogen bonds mediate the characteristic L-shaped molecular structure. tRNAs have two regions of fundamental functional importance: the anti-codon, which is responsible for specific mRNA codon recognition, and the 3' end, to which the tRNAs corresponding amino acid is attached (by aminoacyl-tRNA synthetases). tRNAs cope with the degeneracy of the genetic code in two manners: having more than one tRNA (with a specific anti-codon) for a particular amino acid; and 'wobble' base-pairing, i.e. permitting non-standard base-pairing at the 3rd anti-codon position.
Source: RNAcentral
GCCCCGGUAGCUCAGCAGGAUAGAGCGUCCGCCUCCUAAGCGGAAGGCCAGAGGUUCAAAUCCUCUUCGGGGCACCA